Molecule: transfer RNA, 73 nt
Filed under: Candidatus Altimarinota bacterium
Lineage: Bacteria; Candidatus Altimarinota
Also listed under: 3 other names
Description: tRNA-Phe
Rfam family: tRNA
About the family: Transfer RNA (tRNA) molecules are approximately 80 nucleotides in length.
Source: RNAcentral
GGGAUUAUAGCUGAGUUGGUUCUAGCGCUUGCCUGAAGAGCAAGAGACGUGGGUUCAAUUCCCGCUCUUCCCA